AUGUCUACUUUCUGUUCUUUAAUUAAAAAUUGUGGUUUCUUUGAUAUCGGUUAUAGUGGACCUGCUUACACUUGGCGUAAUAGACAGCACACUGCUAAUCCUAUUUAUAGACGUCUAGAUUGAUGUCUUGUUAAUGCUGAUUGGUGUGCUCACUAUCCUAAUACCAAGGUGCUUAAUUUGCCCAUUAUUCUUAGUGAUCAUGCUCCAAUUCUACGGAUGGUAAUUUCUCUAAGCCUAAACAAACUUUCAAAUUUGAAAAUUGGUGAUUGCUUGAGAAAGAUUUUAGUGAAUUUGCUAAAUCAUCUUGGAACACUGCUAGGUCUGCUUCGUUUUCGGCGAAAUCUUCUUCUCUUCCCGGUUCUUUGA
RNAcentral lists this ribosomal RNA (366 nucleotides) under Triticum aestivum (bread wheat). RNAcentral describes it as "partial small subunit ribosomal RNA". Lineage: Eukaryota; Viridiplantae; Streptophyta; Magnoliopsida; Poales; Poaceae. The record is from RNAcentral.